Molecule: long non-coding RNA, 683 nt
Filed under: Setaria viridis
Lineage: Eukaryota; Viridiplantae; Streptophyta; Magnoliopsida; Poales; Poaceae
Description: long non-coding RNA (SVIR_LNC009069)
Source: RNAcentral
GGGAACAGAGGCAGCACACUUCAGAUUGUAACAUAAUUAAAUUUGAGGAACUCACAAAUUUAGUUUUCACAUUUUUUUCUAUUCAUUCUCAUAUUUUUUAUAAACUUGAUCAAACUUAAUUAUGUCUGAUUUAGGAAAAAAAAGUAAAUAUGACAUGUAAAAAAUAGUGAGACUAUUGUACAGCCCUCAGUAAGGUUGAGACCGUGUGACAAGUCUAUCCCCGCGUUAUAUGUUAAAUGGAAGGAGUGCAAGCCACUUACUAGUGGUAGUUGAUUACUAUACCGUUGCAACAUGCAAGGACUCAAAUUUCCGGACUCUUAGUGAAAGAAGAGAUAUAUGAAAAAAGUAGGAUAGUGUAUUGAUUUUCAAGCUGAAGUUUCCUGAGAUCCCACAAUGGCGACUGGCGAGCAUGAAUAGAAAAAAAUGUGAAAAUUAAUUUAGUUCCCAGGUUGCUUGAAUUUGGUUUAUUACGAUCUGAAGUAUAUAUGCUGCCUCAUUCUCUUUUGAAAAAAAAACAGUGCUGCUGUGUGGAAGCAGCUUGCGGUCUCUUUCGACAAACAAUACUUGAUCCAAUGAUUGUCCAACUAACUCUUAAAUAUUUGGACUGAAAGAAUGAUCAUUACUCCCUCCCUCUCUUUUUAUAGGAUGUAUUUUAUUUCGUUAGAACAAUACUUAUACUACCA